CCCGGCGCUGGGUGCUAAUUCCAGCCCUUUCUCGGCGGCUGCAUUUAAUCCCUGCCCUUCUUCUUCUUUAGGGACGCCAGUUCUCGGAGCAGAGAGGCUGGAAACAACUGCGGAGGACUCCGUCCCUGCCUCUGUUACACGCAUCUACCACUUCGCCACCUUCCGCACUUGGGGCCCCUCUCCUUGAUUAGGACCAAGUUAACACAGAGCCAGAGAAAGGACUGUGGGUUCCCUUAGCGUGUUUCAACAUCAUUGACUCCCUACGUUUUGGUCAGCCUCCAUCACACAGUGAUGCUGGGGGAAAGGAUCCUUGCCACAGUUAUUUGCUUCCUGUGAAUUGUCUGUGAAGAUGAAUUCUCAAAAGAAGGAUUAAUCAUUUGUCCAAAGCAAGUUUUCACACUUCUGCCAAAUAUUGACUGUCCCUCUCCAAAAGUGUUAUUUCUUGAACUCUCUAGUGGUAGUGUUGUCCAAUGCGAAGUGCACAGGCUUUGAAAUCAGGACUAGGUUCAAAUUCCAGCUUGGUCACUUACUUUACCUCUCUAAGCCUUCAUUUUCUAAAACGGGAAUAAUAAAGGUGAUCUCAUCAUAAGGAUUAAAUGAGAUUUCAAAUACAAGGAACCUACCGAGUGCCUGAUUUAGGUGCUAAAUCCAUUCUUUGUAGCCUCUACAUUUUCUCUCUCCUUGGAGUUAUGUGGGACAAGCAACUUCUUACUUUUCAAACUUCCUGUCCUUCUUGAACCAUGUUUUCCCAUGAAAGUCAUGGAACAGGAAUGAUCAUCUAUAGUGCUCUAAUGGGUGCUACUAAAGAGAAAUAUAAAGCCAUCCACAAAUUCAAA
Marmota flaviventris (yellow-bellied marmot) is the source of this 836-nucleotide long non-coding RNA. RefSeq lists it as uncharacterized. The record is from RefSeq and is a predicted model, not a curated record. NCBI's taxonomy places the organism in Eukaryota, Metazoa, Chordata, Mammalia, Rodentia, Sciuridae.